This 79-nucleotide transfer RNA is filed under the name Alphaproteobacteria bacterium. RNAcentral describes it as "tRNA-Val". The record is from RNAcentral. Lineage: Bacteria; Pseudomonadati; Pseudomonadota; Alphaproteobacteria.
GCUCCCUUAGCUCAGUCUGGUCAGAGCGCCCGGCCUACACCCGGGAGGUCGCCCGUUCAAAUCGAGGCAGGGAGUACCA